AGCUGUUCCCCUCUGGAGGUUCACACCUUCACAUCUCAUGGGCCGCAAUUACCUGCGGCCCAUUUUUUCGACAGUC
This 76-nucleotide small RNA is filed under the name Rhizobium azibense. RNAcentral describes it as "suhB". The stretch from base 1 to 67 matches the Rfam family "Alphaproteobacterial ar15", at positions 44 to 112 of the family's 112-position model. The record is from RNAcentral. Lineage: Bacteria; Pseudomonadati; Pseudomonadota; Alphaproteobacteria; Hyphomicrobiales; Rhizobiaceae.